This 1343-nucleotide ribosomal RNA is filed under the name uncultured bacterium. Its description in RNAcentral is "16S ribosomal RNA". It matches the Rfam family "Bacterial small subunit ribosomal RNA", at positions 28 to 1378 of the family's 1533-position model. The record is from RNAcentral.
GACGAACGCUGGCGGCGUGCUUAACACAUGCAAGUCGAACGGAAAGGCCCUGCUUUUGUGGGGUGCUCGAGUGGCGAACGGGUGAGUAACACGUGAGUAACCUGCCCUUGACUUUGGGAUAACUUCAGGAAACUGGGGCUAAUACCGGAUAGGAGCUCCUGCUGCAUGGUGGGGGUUGGAAAGUUUCGGCGGUUGGGGAUGGACUCGCGGCUUAUCAGCUUGUUGGUGGGGUAGUGGCUUACCAAGGCUUUGACGGGUAGCCGGCCUGAGAGGGUGACCGGCCACAUUGGGACUGAGAUACGGCCCAGACUCCUACGGGAGGCAGCAGUGGGGAAUAUUGCACAAUGGGCGGAAGCCUGAUGCAGCAACGCCGCGUGCGGGAUGACGGCCUUCGGGUUGUAAACCGCUUUCGCCUGUGACGAAGCGUGAGUGACGGUAAUGGGUAAAGAAGCACCGGCUAACUACGUGCCAGCAGCCGCGGUGAUACGUAGGGUGCGAGCGUUGUCCGGAUUUAUUGGGCGUAAAGGGCUCGUGGGUGGUUGAUCGCGUCGGAAGUGUAAUCUUGGGGCUUAACCCUGAGCGUGCUUUCGAUACGGGUUGACUUGAGGAAGGUAGGGGAGAAUGGAAUUCCUGGUGGAGCGGUGGAAUGCGCAGAUAUCAGGAGGAACACCAGUGGCGAAGGCGGUUCUCUGGGCCUUUCCUGACGCUGAGGAGCGAAAGCGUGGGGAGCGAACAGGCUUAGAUACCCUGGUAGUCCACGCUGUAAACGGUGGGUACUAGGUGUGGGGUCCAUUCCACGGGUUCCGUGCCGUAGCUAACGCUUUAAGUACCCCGCCUGGGGAGUACGGCCGCAAGGCUAAAACUCAAAGGAAUUGACGGGGCCCCGCACAAGCGGCGGAGCAUGCGGAUUAAUUCGAUGCAACGCGUAGAACCUUACCUGGGUUUGACAUGGAUCGGGAGUGCUCAGAGAUGGGUGUGCCUCUUUUGGGGUCGGUUCACAGGUGGUGCAUGGCUGUCGUCAGCUCGUGUCGUGAGAUGUUGGGUUAAGUCCCGCAACGAGCGCAACCCUUGUUCACUGUUGCCAGCACGUUAUGGUGGGGACUCAGUGGAGACCGCCGGGGUCAACUCGGAGGAAGGUGGGGAUGGCGUCAAGUCAUCAUGCCCCUUAUGUCCAGGGCUUCACGCAUGCUACAAUGGCUGGUACAGAGAGUGGCGAGCCUGUGAGGGUGAGCGAAUCUCGGAAAGCCGGUCUCAGUUCGGAUUGGGGUCUGCAACUCGACCUCAUGAAGUCGGAGUCGCUAGUAAUCGCAGAUCAGCAACGCUGCGGUGAAUACGUUCCCGGG